Molecule: ribosomal RNA, 2382 nt
Filed under: Klebsiella pneumoniae
Lineage: Bacteria; Pseudomonadati; Pseudomonadota; Gammaproteobacteria; Enterobacterales; Enterobacteriaceae
Description: bacterial LSU rRNA
Rfam family: Bacterial large subunit ribosomal RNA
Source: RNAcentral
CCAUCCUCCAAGGCUAAAUACUCCUGACUGACCGAUAGUGAACCAGUACCGUGAGGGAAAGGCGAAAAGAACCCCGGCGAGGGGAGUGAAAAAGAACCUGAAACCGUGUACGUACAAGCAGUGGGAGCACCUUCGGGUGUGACUGCGUACCUUUUGUAUAAUGGGUCAGCGACUUAUAUUCUGUAGCAAGGUUAACCGUAUAGGGGAGCCGCAGGGAAACCGAGUCUUAACUGGGCGUUAAGUUGCAGGGUAUAGACCCGAAACCCGGUGAUCUAGCCAUGGGCAGGUUGAAGGUUGGGUAACACUAACUGGAGGACCGAACCGACUAAUGUUGAAAAAUUAGCGGAUGACUUGUGGCUGGGGGUGAAAGGCCAAUCAAACCGGGAGAUAGCUGGUUCUCCCCGAAAGCUAUUUAGGUAGCGCCUCGUGAACUCAUCUUCGGGGGUAGAGCACUGUUUCGGCUAGGGGGUCAUCCCGACUUACCAACCCGAUGCAAACUACGAAUACCGAAGAAUGUUAUCACGGGAGACACACGGCGGGUGCUAACGUCCGUCGUGAAGAGGGAAACAACCCAGACCGCCAGCUAAGGUCCCAAAGUCAUGGUUAAGUGGGAAACGAUGUGGGAAGGCACAGACAGCCAGGAUGUUGGCUUAGAAGCAGCCAUCAUUUAAAGAAAGCGUAAUAGCUCACUGGUCGAGUCGGCCUGCGCGGAAGAUGUAACGGGGCUAAACCAUGCACCGAAGCUGCGGCAGCGACACUAUGUGUUGUUGGGUAGGGGAGCGUUCUGUAAGCCUGCGAAGGUGUGCUGUGAGGCAUGCUGGAGGUAUCAGAAGUGCGAAUGCUGACAUAAGUAACGAUAAAGCGGGUGAAAAGCCCGCUCGCCGGAAGACCAAGGGUUCCUGUCCAACGUUAAUCGGGGCAGGGUGAGUCGACCCCUAAGGCGAGGCCGAAAGGCGUAGUCGAUGGGAAACAGGUUAAUAUUCCUGUACUUGGUGUUACUGCGAAGGGGGGACGGAGAAGGCUAUGUUAGCCGGGCGACGGUUGUCCCGGUUUAAGCAUGUAGGCUGGUUAUCCAGGCAAAUCCGGAUAAUCAAGGCUGAGGUGUGAUGACGAGGCACUACGGUGCUGAAGUAACAAAUGCCCUGCUUCCAGGAAAAGCCUCUAAGCAUCAGGUAACAUCAAAUCGUACCCCAAACCGACACAGGUGGUCAGGUAGAGAAUACCAAGGCGCUUGAGAGAACUCGGGUGAAGGAACUAGGCAAAAUGGUGCCGUAACUUCGGGAGAAGGCACGCUGGUGUGUAGGUGAAGUCCCUGCGGAUGGAGCUGAGACCAGUCGAAGAUACCAGCUGGCUGCAACUGUUUAUUAAAAACACAGCACUGUGCAAACACGAAAGUGGACGUAUACGGUGUGACGCCUGCCCGGUGCCGGAAGGUUAAUUGAUGGGGUUAUCCGUAAGGAGAAGCUCUUGAUCGAAGCCCCGGUAAACGGCGGCCGUAACUAUAACGGUCCUAAGGUAGCGAAAUUCCUUGUCGGGUAAGUUCCGACCUGCACGAAUGGCGUAAUGAUGGCCAGGCUGUCUCCACCCGAGACUCAGUGAAAUUGAACUCGCUGUGAAGAUGCAGUGUACCCGCGGCAAGACGGAAAGACCCCGUGAACCUUUACUAUAGCUUGACACUGAACAUUGAGCCUUGAUGUGUAGGAUAGGUGGGAGGCUUUGAAGCGUGGACGCCAGUCUGCGUGGAGCCAACCUUGAAAUACCACCCUUUAAUGUUUGAUGUUCUAACGUUGGCCCCUGACCGGGGUUGCGGACAGUGUCUGGUGGGUAGUUUGACUGGGGCGGUCUCCUCCCAAAGCGUAACGGAGGAGCACGAAGGUUAGCUAAUCCUGGUCGGACAUCAGGAGGUUAGUGCAAUGGCAUAAGCUAGCUUGACUGCGAGCGUGACGGCGCGAGCAGGUGCGAAAGCAGGUCAUAGUGAUCCGGUGGUUCUGAAUGGAAGGGCCAUCGCUCAACGGAUAAAAGGUACUCCGGGGAUAACAGGCUGAUACCGCCCAAGAGUUCAUAUCGACGGCGGUGUUUGGCACCUCGAUGUCGGCUCAUCACAUCCUGGGGCUGAAGUAGGUCCCAAGGGUAUGGCUGUUCGCCAUUUAAAGUGGUACGCGAGCUGGGUUUAGAACGUCGUGAGACAGUUCGGUCCCUAUCUGCCGUGGGCGCUGGAGAAUUGAGGGGGGCUGCUCCUAGUACGAGAGGACCGGAGUGGACGCAUCACUGGUGUUCGGGUUGUCAUGCCAAUGGCACUGCCCGGUAGCUAAAUGCGGAAGAGAUAAGUGCUGAAAGCAUCUAAGCACGAAACUUGCCCCGAGAUGAGUUCUCCCUGAGACU